Molecule: long non-coding RNA, 376 nt
Organism: Sebastes umbrosus (honeycomb rockfish)
Lineage: Eukaryota; Metazoa; Chordata; Actinopteri; Perciformes; Sebastidae
Exons: 2
Source: RefSeq, a predicted model, not a curated record
CUCUCCUUGACUCCCGACAUCCCGUGACUCGGCUCUUGGCUUUGGAAAGCCCUGCAUGUCGUGCUCCUUAAAGUGCCCCGGUUUAUUGGACAGUAAACUCGGUAGCUCUAUUGUCCGAUGUGGAAUCUCCAGUGAACAGAUGAACUAAAGACAAGGCCAGGCUGUGUGGCUUGACCUUCCCUAAAGGCAAGUGUUUGUUCCCCAUACGCAGGACAGAAGGGGAUCAUGUUGAUGAUGUGUAGUAGUUUGCAUUCUUUCCUUGUUGAAAGAUGACACUGAACUGGCAAAGACAGGGGAGAGGGCAUUAGGAGCUAAAUACUGAAGACUUCACACCCUACGAAAGAGGCCUAUAUAUUCAAUAAAAUGUGAAACUUGA